GGUCCCGCUAAGCGUAUACAUGCAAGUCGAGCGAAUCGAUGGGAGCUUGCUCCCUGAGAUUAGCGGCGGACGGGUGAGUAACACGUGGGCAACCUGCCUAUAAGACUGGGAUAACUUCGGGAAACCGGAGCUAAUACCGGAUACGUUCUUUUCUCGCAUGAGAGAAGAUGGAAAGACGGUUUACGCUGUCACUUAUAGAUGGGCCCGCGGCGCAUUAGCUAGUUGGUGAGGUAAUGGCUCACCAAGGCGACGAUGCGUAGCCGACCUGAGAGGGUGAUCGGCCACACUGGGACUGAGACACGGCCCAGACUCCUACGGGAGGCAGCAGUAGGGAAUCUUCCGCAAUGGACGAAAGUCUGACGGAGCAACGCCGCGUGAACGAAGAAGGCCUUCGGGUCGUAAAGUUCUGUUGUUAGGGAAGAACAAGUACCAGAGUAACUGCUGGUACCUUGACGGUACCUAACCAGAAAGCCACGGCUAACUACGUGCCAGCAGCCGCGGUAAUACGUAGGUGGCAAGCGUUGUCCGGAAUUAUUGGGCGUAAAGCGCGCGCAGGUGGUUCCUUAAGUCUGAUGUGAAAGCCCACGGCUCAACCGUGGA
This 600-nucleotide ribosomal RNA is filed under the name Peribacillus simplex. RNAcentral's name for it is "bacterial SSU rRNA". It matches the Rfam family "Bacterial small subunit ribosomal RNA", at positions 35 to 619 of the family's 1533-position model. Lineage: Bacteria; Bacillati; Bacillota; Bacilli; Caryophanales; Bacillaceae. The record is from RNAcentral.